Hippocampus zosterae (dwarf seahorse) is the source of this 1364-nucleotide long non-coding RNA. RefSeq lists it as uncharacterized. The record is from RefSeq and is a predicted model, not a curated record. The transcript is spliced from 2 exons. Lineage: Eukaryota; Metazoa; Chordata; Actinopteri; Syngnathiformes; Syngnathidae.
CCUGCAAGAACACAUUCAGCACUCACACUUGUCAACUAAUCUUAGGUCUGUCAGGAGUUAUUAAUAUUGAUUUUGAGUAUGUAUCUAACACACAUUUACCUGAUGUAAAACAUUGAAUUAGCAAUGUGAUCGCUGACAGAUACCUGGUAUGACUGACAUGUCACCGCAGAGUGACUACGGGAUGUGAAAUGAGCAUGCCAUCGUUGAAUGUAAAUACAGGGUGUCGUCCUCCCUCCCCCCCAAAAAAUUUCAACAUUUCAAAAGCAAUUAUCUUCAAAACUAUUAAGUCGAGUUCAGUGAAAUUGAACAGUUCAGGUGUUGAACAUCCUAAGUGAUUCUCUGCCUGAGUUUGUCAAUGCGAGUAAGAAGAGGGGGGACAUAAAUAUAAAUUCUUAAUCUGUUUCUAAAAAAAAAAAAAAAAAGUGGGCGAACUCAAAAAUUUAAGGCAACAAACAGAUAGAAUUUUCAGCUGUGCAAUUGAGCUACGUAGUUUGAGUUGCUGUUGAGAAACGUGGCUUUCCAGCAUUUCACAAUAAAUAAGUGUUGACAGAACCACUGUCACUUGUAUUGAUCCCCAACUUAAAUAUUAGUAUGAACACAAGAUCUAAUUAAAAGCAACUCAGCAAAUUGUUUUGGAGCAAACAACGUGCUCACUGUUUUAGCCCCCCCCCCCCAACCCGCAAAAUACAACUUGUCUUUUUUACAGUGUACAUCCUGUAAAAAAAUGUAAUUAUUUCAAUCACAUUUGCCCAAAUUAUCGGCUUGCGAAAGCUUUAUUUGGGGCUGUCCUGUCUUAUCUCACUGGAUUGGCCCGGAUCAAUUACCUGCCACGUUAACACUUUGUUCCUGUGCUCUUCUGCCCCAUCGAGAAAAAGGUCCACUGCUAGCGCCUGUGCCACCAACAGCCUCCUCGCCUCCAGAGAUAACUCAGACUGCAGAGUGAUACAUGGCACCUCUGACUGCUCCUCAUCUCUCUGCUGAGACUUCCUCUCGCUUUCUGCCAACUCUUCUCUCUGCUCAGCCUUCAAUCUGGAGAGCAUACUACCUUUUUGGAGUGGGCCAUUGUGUCCAACCGAUCCACUGCGUUGGAUGGGCAUCUGUCUGACUUUCUUCAACAAAAUGGAACCGUCCCUUUCAUGAUUCUUGACUUGCCAGAGAGAUCCUGUGGAGCUUUGGGAGAUGUCAGAUGUGUUACUAUUCCAACUCUUCCACUGCGUUACCGGUUGAGCAGUUUCGGAUGGAGAAAUUGGCCUGGCCACGUUGCCCUGUGAGAGGGAGCCCAAGGGUUGUGUCAGGAGGUUGAGCUGCGACCCCAGACGUCUUAGAUCAGACUCACUGUAACUAAGACUCUUGCGAUGGUAGAA